This is a long non-coding RNA of Nycticebus coucang (slow loris), 2597 nucleotides long. RefSeq lists it as uncharacterized. NCBI's taxonomy places the organism in Eukaryota, Metazoa, Chordata, Mammalia, Primates, Lorisidae. The record is from RefSeq and is a predicted model, not a curated record. The transcript is spliced from 3 exons.
GGACACGCAUGAGCUGCACUGAUCCUGAUCCCUUGGCCUGAGGAUGAGAAUCUUCAGGGUCUAUACUUCAUUUCCCAGAGCUGGUGUGGAAUGAGCUCCUUCUGGCUCUGGGAGGAUCACAGGGGUGCCUGCCACCUGCAGCCCAGCCUCAGGCUCCCUCGCCCUUAGGAGAGCUCCUGAAGGCCAUGGGGAGAGGACCAGUGUGUGAUUCCGGGUCAUCUUCUGGCACGGAUGGGAGCUGCAGAACAACAAUGCUAACCACGGUCAUCAUUAAUUUAGUGCUAACCGUAGAAAGACCUGGAGAAUGACCACACCUAAUUUCCAGCCUGAGCUUCUACCUGUAUGCAACGGACACAAAAAUCCUCAGAGGGUUGUUGUGACAAACAAAUGGCACCUGGAGCACCAAGUGACAACCACCAUUAUGGGUUACAAUUAUUACUGAGAAGCAUUCUGAGCGCUUGACUGAGAACUAUCUGCAUAUUCAAUUGCAAAUAGCUCUCAUGUGUUCAUUCCAAUCAUAAUUUUCUUAUUUUGGCCACACUUUUAAAACACUUGAGGGCCAUUUUUUCAUCUUCCCUUUGUUUUGUCAAUCUCUGUACCUUUCCACAGUUACCUUUCCACAAUAUUUUAACUUUCUUGGCUUCUCAUCAAAGAGGCGAGGCCCAGCCCUUUGACAUUUACACUUGAGUGUUUUCUAGGUAUGAAGCCAUCUGACCUUCACGGAAGACCAUCUUUUAUAAAUUCUUCUUUGCUAACCACCACCAUUAGUGCCACCACUUCUCAGCCUUUCAGUCUUGCUUUCAAGCAUUUUUAAAAAAGCCUUAUAAGUGGGAUAGCCUUCUAAAAGCAGAACUUUCAAUUCUGAAGGGGAUCUUGAAAGAGAAUUAGGGGGAGAUGGGAUUUUACUAGCUCCAUUAGUGCUUGCAAAGAGAAACUAUCUUUAAGUCGAAAUUGUCUCCUUGAGUGCCUGGCCGUUUGGUAAGCAUAGGGCAAGGGAAGGCAAUCCCACUUCGAAAGUUCUAAAGGUGAAGCUACACUGAAAAGGCAUCAGUGAAUGGUUCCAUCAUACUUAUAUUUGAGAAAAAAACAUCAGGGACCCAAGUCUUGAUGCAAGCAAACUGUUUAAGUUCUGCAGGCCACAUGGAGGUGGACAUCUAGGUACAAACAAAGACGUGGUUCUACCUGGCCUUUAAUUCUUUCAUUCCUAUGACUGUGUGAUAAUUAUUCAUAAAGACCAUGUGCUUGUCCUUCUGUUUUAGGUUUAAAACCUGGUAGGGCAAAGGACAACACCUGGUUUGUGCCUUUUAGAACCAGUGACACAAAAGGUUUGAGGGCUCCAGUGUAUAGAGAGUAUACCACCCAAAUUUAGCAGUCUCCUGGCCAGUGGACUUAUUUAGUGAGUUGAAGAGUUUAUUUCCAGCCAGCAAUUGGUUGGGUCCUUAGGAUUUAUAAGGCCCAAGAGUAGACACAGAAAUGAACCAAAGACAAUCCUUUCCCUUUAGGAUGAUACAUCUAGUCACUCAAAUCAUAUUGGGAUAUAAAUAAUUAGAAUUGAGAGUAGAAAGUGCAAAGGUCUAUAGCAAAGGGGCAGAUAAACUGGGAUCAUAGAAAAGAGAGCUUAUUCUUAGCUAUGUGCGGAGGGAAGGAUUUAUGGAAAAGGUGGUAUUUGAGGUAGGUGUUACAUGAGUACAUUAUGUACAUGCAGAGAGGGGGUUAGUAUGUUGCUGAAGUAGUUUUAUAAAGGACAUAUGGUUUUACAAAAGGAGUAGUUUGGGAAAUAAAUCUGGGAAGGUGGGGGGUGUCUUGCCAAAGAAGUUUGAGAUCCCAGGGCCCUAACUCAAAGGUUAGAAAUUUAUCAUACAGCUUUUCAUUAGGAACAUGUUGAGUUUGUAAAAUUGCAAAUGUCUGAGCAGGAUUGUCCCCAACAUGUGUGGGGUACAGGUGGGAUUGUAUGAGGGAAGGCCACAUACUUUAUGUCUGAAUAUUUCCAAGUUUUAGAGGAAGCCAUACCCAAGAUCGGGUCAUUGAUACCACCCAUGAGACUGCGCUGGGAUUAAGAGGCUAAAGGAGCCCUGGUUUCCUUGAAGGCCACCCUGCCACUAGAGCUUCAGCAAUCACAAGGAUUUUCAGGGAAAGGGCAGGAGGGAAGCUGGACUCAGGGUGGAACUCCUGGGCAGCAGCUGCGUGUGCCUCCAUCAAGGACAGGGAAGGACUCAGCCCAAGGUCUCUGGGUUACUGGGAAGAAAAAGUUCUCCUACCUCACACUUCCCUUUUCUGAUUCCAGAUUAACAGGAGUUCUAAGCACCACCUAAAAUGAUACCUACCCACUGCACCAAGCAGAGGACAGGAUGGCAGCACAGUUGCCUGGGGAACGCUGCCUAUGCCUCCUCCCACUUCAGGGGCUGCGGCGCAGGGACCUAGAACUAAAGCAGCCUCUUUCUCUGGCUUUGCAGGGCCCAGGCAGCCUGACCUCUCUCAGUCAGAAUUUCAUUCUCUUAUUGUCAUCACUUGCCAAGAUGACAAAAUUCAGCCACUAUGUCCCUGUCCUAUAUGUUGUGUGUGCUCGAUUUGUUAUCAAACUUUAAGACAGGAGGCUG